This 466-nucleotide ribosomal RNA is filed under the name Vreelandella stevensii. Its description in RNAcentral is "partial 16S ribosomal RNA". It matches the Rfam family "Bacterial small subunit ribosomal RNA", at positions 337 to 795 of the family's 1533-position model. The record is from RNAcentral. Lineage: Bacteria; Pseudomonadati; Pseudomonadota; Gammaproteobacteria; Oceanospirillales; Halomonadaceae.
GCCUACGGGAGGCUGCAGUGGGGAAUAUUGGACAAUGGGGGCAACCCUGAUCCAGCCAUGCCGCGUGUGUGAAGAAGGCCCUCGGGUUGUAAAGCACUUUCAGUGAGGAAGAACGCCUGGUGGUUAAUACCCAUCAGGAAAGACAUCACUCACAGAAGAAGCACCGGCUAACUCCGUGCCAGCAGCCGCGGUAAUACGGAGGGUGCGAGCGUUAAUCGGAAUUACUGGGCGUAAAGCGCGCGUAGGUGGCUUGAUAAGCCGGUUGUGAAAGCCCCGGGCUCAACCUGGGAACGGCAUCCGGAACUGUCAAGCUAGAGUGCAGGAGAGGAAGGUAGAAUUCCCGGUGUAGCGGUGAAAUGCGUAGAGAUCGGGAGGAAUACCAGUGGCGAAGGCGGCCUUCUGGACUGACACUGACACUGAGGUGCGAAAGCGUGGGUAGCAAACAGGAUUAGAUACCCUGGUAGUC